Molecule: RNA transcript, 2043 nt
Organism: Nyctereutes procyonoides (raccoon dog)
Lineage: Eukaryota; Metazoa; Chordata; Mammalia; Carnivora; Canidae
Gene: RPL37
Gene name: ribosomal protein L37
Exons: 3
Source: RefSeq, a predicted model, not a curated record
GUUUCUUGGUCACGGUCUGUGCUGUUUCAUGUUUGGUGGGACAUGCCUCUGUCCAUCCUGAAAAAGUAUCCACUAACACUAGUAAAUACCUAUACCCGUAUUUUCCAGGUUUCACCUCAGUGAAGUCCACUUCCCAGUAGGCUCCUGGGCGGUCCCCUCGGAGCCCGGUGCCCGGGUUAGAUCCACGGGCGGAGGCAUUUGUUAACUGGCAUGCGUGGCAGCUUGCCACAAUCUGUUGGAUCUUUGCUGGAGUUUUUAAUAGGGAGCCCAACGUGGGGCUCGAUCCCGGGUCUCCAGGAUCAUGCCCUGGGCUGAAGGCGGCGCUGAACCGCUGAUCCACCGGGGCUGCACCAAAAAAGAAAAUUGAUUGGCUGUAACUUUAAGCCUAGUAAUUUGCUCAUCCUUAGUGGCUUUAAGUUUUUUUUUUUUUUUUUAAUUUAAAUAAUCUCUACACCCAACAUGGGGCUCAAACUCACUACCCCAGAUCUAGAGUCACAUGUUCCUCUGGCUGAGCCAGUCAGGUGCCCUGUCCUUAGCGUUCUGAUUUUCCAAGGAGCCGACACCGAUGCAAACACACGAGGGUUUAUUUACAAGCUCGAGCCUGGGUCCAAGUGUACCCGACACAGGGGAGCAGGGGCUUGGACCCCGAGACUAAGAGGCGUAGCAGCUUUAUAGGGGCCAGUGGCCAAUGGGAUACGCAGAAAGUUGCACAGUCAAGCCGGUCCGGACACUCGCAGGUGGCCGAUUGAAUUACAUUUUACCCUAAAGUGUCCGUUUGAACUGGCCUAUCACUGAGCCCAUUUCUGAUUAGGGUGUGCCCUGGGCUUGACUAGGGCGGGGCAGUGCCCUAAGCAGGUCGGCACGAGGCGGCUGCAGCACAAAAGGGAGUCAGUCCUGCUCUGCUUGUCCAGGGGUAGGGGAUUUUGUUAAAUUUCCUGGGUCCCACAAUUUUCGGGCCUAGGUUCCUGUGUGCUUAGUGGGUCCCUAACGCAUUAGUCCCCUUAGCCCAAUGGCUUCCUGGUUGAACUUAACAGGGCCUUAAAAUUAGUCCCACGUCGGGCUCCCUGCAUGGAGCCUGCUUCUCCCUCUGCCUGUGUCUCUGCCUCUCUCUCUCUAUGAAUAAAUAAAAUCUUUUUAAAAAAAAAAAAGUCGGGGGAGGCAGAGGGUGUGAUAGGAGACUCCUGCUGGCUUGCUGGCUUGGAGGGGCGAGGAGACGACAAGCCAGGCAUGCUGACAGCCUCCAGGAGCCGAAAAAGGCGGCAGCUCUUCCGGAACCGCCAAGAAAACAACGCAGCCCUGCCCACACCUGAUGUCCGCCCAGCGAGGCCCAUCUCCCUUCUGACCGGAACCGUGAGAUGCGGCGAGGCCGCGCCGCCGCCGCCGCCGCCCCGCCCCGCCGGGAGAACCAGCGUCCGCCGGAAGCUCGCGGCCCGGGGAGGAGGGCCCUGGAGGAGCGGGCCUCUCCCGGGCCGCGUCGCAGGCCCCCGCCCGGCGCUCCACCACACGCCGGAAGCGCGCACUCGGCUCGGGGAUCCCCAGGUUCCCGCCAGUCGGCGGCCGCAAACCCGCGAGGCGGCGGGAGGGCCGGAGCGCCAGCACACAGGACCGAGCUCCGGCGUCAGGGCUGCUCUCCGCCCGGGGUGGGGGUGGGGGGGGUCGCCGGAACACGCCCACUCCGACGCCGGGAAGCUGUGAGCCCUCCCGCCGGCCGGGCUCCGAAACCCCUAUUGGCCCUGCCUGGCUCCGCCUCCGCCCCUAGGCCCCACCCACGGUGCCGCUACGGACGUUUGAGGACGGUGCACCGCGCCCCGCCGGAAGUACUUCCCUGGGGCGGAAGCUUCUGAGCACGAUAUAGCGGAAGUGCCUCUUCUUCCGGCCUCUUUGGGGUCUGCCGCGGAAACAAGAUGACGAAGGGGACGUCAUCGUUCGGAAAGCGUCGCAAUAAGACGCACACGUUGUGCCGCCGCUGUGGCUCUAAGGCCUACCACCUUCAGAAGUCCACCUGCGGCAAGUGUGGCUACCCUGCCAAGCGGAAGAGAAAGU